GCUUGACUGUAGUUUGGAAUAGGGUUCGGGCUUUUCUUGCGCAGCCUAGGUGGGAGGCAUUGAGGAUUUCUUUUCGGGGAAAUCGGAGCCAUCAUUGAGAGACCACUCUGGAAGAGCUAGAAUCCUAAUGGCGUUCCUUGAAUCAGGACGCUUGACAGUUUCAGAUGGGCAGUUUUCUUGGGGCGAGAUUCUAGACCAGACGGGAUGCUUGAAGAUUUUUCAAUCGGGAAUCAGAUCGAAUUGUAAUAAAUUCAAGUAGAAUUUGACUAUAUGCUGGAAUGUUUCUAUGUUGACUAUUGUGAGGAUAAAGCUCGCCAGUUUUAACCGUUACCGACCAACAAAUGUUAAACAGAAGAGGUUUUGAAAACCUCUGAAACUAAUCAGCAGGGAAACAACAAGAAUUGUUGUGACCUUCAAAGACUUUACGUCAAACUUUUAAAAUAAAAUUUUAAAAGAUGAUAAAGUCUAACCUAUUAAAAUUAAUAGGUUGCCUAAAAGGUAACGGAGAAGCGCAAUGGUCCCCUCAACCUGGACGGAAAUCAGGCUUUGAGUGCAAAGGCAUAAGGGGGCUUGACUGCAAGACCUACAAGUCGAGCAGG
Molecule: ribosomal RNA, 599 nt
Filed under: Stigeoclonium sp. 7 AS-2014
Lineage: Eukaryota; Viridiplantae; Chlorophyta; Chlorophyceae; Chaetophorales; Chaetophoraceae
Description: partial 23S ribosomal RNA
Rfam family: Bacterial large subunit ribosomal RNA
Source: RNAcentral